Mercenaria mercenaria is the source of this 2010-nucleotide RNA transcript. RefSeq lists it as uncharacterized. The record is from RefSeq and is a predicted model, not a curated record. Lineage: Eukaryota; Metazoa; Mollusca; Bivalvia; Venerida; Veneridae. The transcript is spliced from 6 exons.
AAAAAGUAAAAAAAAAAUCAUUAUAUUGCAAAAAAUGAUGAUUUUGUAAAUCGUUUUUUUCCGUAGCGCGCUCGUUAAUUUCCGCCGCUCUUUCCGAUGAUGACGUAGGAAUAUCCCCAGCGUAAUUGACCUCGCGACCUGUUCACUCGCAUGUGUAAUUUUCCCGCGGAUACAUCAUUUACUACACAGUGUCAUUUGUGAUUUUACAUAUUUUGUGUGACAGUGAUUCAGUCUGGACAUUGUUGUUAAAGUGAAAACAGUUUUUUUAAUCUACGUGCGUUAAAUAGAAGAACAAAUCAUGGUGCACUGUGUUGCAUUUGGGUGCAACAACAAAAGUGACGAUGGGACGAAAGGGUUCUUCCUCUUUCCGAAGGACGAGAACUUACGUCAAAAAUGGACGAAUAAUUUGAAUUCUCUGAGAAGUGUGGAUGGGAAGUUAGUUCCGUUUGUGCCAAGUAAGACGUCUCGUGUAUGUCUAAGACACUUUACCGAUGACAGUUUUGUGCAUUCGCCAAGUGUAAUGAAAUCAGUUGGGUUGACACUAAAACUACAAUUAGUGAAAGGGGCAGUGCCAACUGUUUUUCCUGAGACAGUUUCCUACAAGGAAAACAGGAAACCAGUUUCCAACUGUCUGGGUCCAGCAAAGAGAAAAAGGACCACCUAUGGUGCCUUCGAGAAAAGGAACCGUAAAGCGUGUGUUGAUGAACUGAUCAUGUCACAUCAGCUGCUGCAGAAAGAAGAAGAAGAGAAACGGCGAAUUGAAGAGGAACUUCAUUUAGAAGAAGUUGAGCUUGGUCAUGCACCAGCAGUGAAAUCCAUAUCAUCAAUUGAGCUGCAUGGUAAUGCUACUUCACGAGCCUGUCAGACAACUGAGCAAGUCGGCCUACGGAACAUAAAGGUUAAAGUCAGAGAGUGUGGGACACUUGCAGUGACUGAAACAAAGGACAUGAUGUGUGGCCCAGACCAGUGUACACCUUCAGUUGAGAAGAGUUUCCAAUUCCCAGAAAAUGCCUGCUAUGAUGACCCAGCUGAACAGUCUGACGAGGAGUAUGUCGACAAUGUGGAAGAAGACCCAGACUGGGAACCAUCUGCUGAUGACUUGGCAGAUCUAGACGAGGAUGGAGAUGAUGAUGAAAACGCAACUGUUUGGCACGACUGUAUAGAAGACCAUGCACCAGACCUAAUGAAAGAAGAAAAAUUCAUUGUUUUUCAGAGUUGUCUUCUGUCUCUGUUAAGGUUGUGCCACAUAUAUUCCGGGGUGUGUAGCAACAUUAAGAAGAAAGUGGUGGGCAGCAUGGUAAUUUUUGAAAGUGUUUGUGAAACUGGACAUUCAAGGAUCUGGCGUAGCCAACCGGUGGUUAGUGGUGCUCCAGUUGGGAACGUGUUAUCAGCAGGUGCCUUGGUGUUUUCAGGACUAUCACCGUCAAAACUUUUCAACUUUUUCAAAUUUACAAACAUUUUAAUGAUCAAGGAAAGAACAUUUAACAGAUACCAGAAAUCGUUUGUUAUUCCGGCAAUAGCGAAUACAUGGCAACAGAAACAGAACGAGACCCUCCUGGCAUGUAGAGGGAGAAGUAUUCGUGUAGGUGGCGAUGCUAGGUGCUGCUCUCCUGGACAUACUGCCAAAUAUGGAAGCUACACAUUGAUGGAUUUAGAGACAGGCAUGGUGUUAGCUACAGAAUUAGUAUAAAGCAAUGAAGUGAAGAACUCGAAUGCUAUGGAAUUAGAGGGGUUGAAGAGAACCAUGAAAGUUGUGGAAGAUAUGGGUGUGACUCUGAGCGACACAACCACAGAUCGCCAUGUACAGGUCCGAAAAUAUCUCCGUGAAAAUAAAGGACAUAUUAAUCACUGGUUUGACAGCUGGCAUGUUGCCAAAAAAUAAAUCUAGCAGCCUUGCACACCUGUUCAAAUGCCGGCAGAGCACAGGCCAUCACAAGGGAUGGGCAACUUCGUUACAGCUUGUCGUACCCAAAGUACAAAGGUGGAAAGCAUAUUGUGAAGCCAGUUAUG